Molecule: non-coding RNA, 3027 nt
Organism: Procambarus clarkii (red swamp crayfish)
Lineage: Eukaryota; Metazoa; Arthropoda; Malacostraca; Decapoda; Cambaridae
Source: RefSeq, a predicted model, not a curated record
UCAGGGUGAAGAUAAUCGAGCAUCUGGAGGGUGGUGGCAGGUGCCAGAGGUACAGGUGAAAGCAGGUCCCCCGCAUAUGGCGGUGGCAGGUUAAGUACCAGUCUGGUGGUGGCCGCUGGCGAGUGAGGGUGUGUUCUCUGGGAGAACCUGUGAUGACAGACUGUACACAUAUGGACGCUGCGUCCGUGGUCACGGUUCUCCUUGGCGUACUUAACAAUAAUAUGUGCUGAAACUUAUCUUUGAAAUUAUCGACGAGCACAAAGGGAAAUUGGCAGUAUUGUAGAGCGUGUGUAGGGUUGAAAAAAAUGAAAUUUAGAGACAUUAGCACUGGGAAAAUUGUUGCAGUUAUUUGACACUAUUAAUUGUAAUAAAUUAAUUUUCGCUUAUAAUCAAGUGAUUUAUUGCUAAAAGAAAACAAAGGGGAAGCUGAACAUAAUGACUGAAACACAAAUAUCAGCGAUGGAUUUUGAAGGCAUAAACGAGUCUCUUGGUGGGUUUGGGAGGUACCAGAAGCUUGUGUUCUUCCUGGCGUGUUGGGGCUCCUUCAUGCCCGCCAUGGUCGUGGUGGCCAUGACCUUCCUCGGUAACGUCCUCAACUACAGCAGAGAUUUAUAGUUACUGACGCAAGAAAUGAAGCAGCUGUGGAGUUGUGUGUCGCCACAGGAAGACGCUGCGACGGAUGGUGUUCCCGUGAAAACAAUAGGUUGAGUUGUCUCCAAGGUUGCGGACAUAAGGAAGACGUUGAAGCGUUCAUUGGUACCUUCUGUGAAAACUUGCAACAUAUUCUCUGCACUGGAAGACUAGCCAGCUGCUUGCCCAGCAGUGGAGAUGACUGAAACAUGGAUGCAGGAGGUCGGACAACACAGUAACUCAAGAAGAAAGUUUUCGUGAGGACUUCCAAUUCAUUCGCUGCUUUGGAGGGUGUGUGGUGUUGGUGGUGGAGGCUGCGGUGGCAGGAAAGGUGUGACGAUAGAAGGAGCGCCGGUGAAAUGAGUAUAGAAAGUCAUCUUUGUCGAAAAGAAUUCGAUCUUGUGUGGAUUCCUCUUUGUCUUGGUUUCUUGUAUCUGAGUUUGUGUCAGUGUCUGUGUGUGUGAUUACAACUGCUUCAAGCUUCAUUUAUAUUUUUGUGAUACUGACGACCCUUUCUCAUCCCUACCCCUGCCACUUAUUCGUGCCCCCCUCACUCAUGCCACAUAUCCCAGUCCCUCACCCUAGCUCUUCAGCCCUGCCUCUCACCCCCAGAAGUGGAGAGCAGAACGGAAACCGAAGGUUUUUUUGUGAGCUUGAGGGGGAUGGGCGGGUAAAUACACUGGUCUCGACAGGAACCAUUAUGUGUGAUUUUAAAUCUGGAUGGAUGAAUCCGGAUUUACCGUCUCUGGGCAACACGCGCCAGAACCCAUGUUUAUGUGGCCUUCUGGUUAGGAACGUCGCAGACGACCCUCCUCCAGCACCCCAGGAAGGACAGAAAACCUAAUGUUUGUGGAUGGUUCGUUCCACCUGACAUUGUCGUCCUCGUUCCCCACCUCCACCCUCUCCACUUGCACAUGUUUGGGAGGUAUAUUGAGCUCAACCUCUCCUGAAGGGGUAUCACUUCAUAAUUUGUACUGUUAUCUACACCUUAUCCAUGGUUAGAUUAAGUUAGAGUAGAUUAGAUUAGGUUAGGGUACGUUAGAUUAGGUAAGGUUGGGCUAGGUUUCGUUACAUUAAUCAUUAAUCCAAGGUGAAAAUCAGUAGGAGCCAUGAGAGGAUUCGAACCUAUGCAUUGGGUACUCCCAAGCAUGCACCUUAAACCACUGAACCAUGACAUGCUAAAAGCAAAGUACUUACUGGGGAUCAAGUGAAUCCUUUAAAGGUCCUGAGGUUUCCUCUAUUGAGUUGAGUCCCAAGUUGUAUUUUUUUCAGCAUGUAGUGGUACAGUGGUUUAAGGCAUGUGUUUGGGAGUACGAAGUGUGCAGGUUCGAAUCUCCAUCAUGGCUGCUAAUGAUUUUCUCAUUGAUACAUCACUUUAAUGUUAUUUUUUUGUACAUUUGAAGAGAAGAUUUGGGGGUUAGGACUCCUAUACCACAGCCAGAGUGUAUAUGUGGUUAAUGUGUGAAACCUUAACUUGGCUUCAGUGGAAGCCUCAGAACCCCUGGAGAAUUUUGCUGCAUCCCAGUUUGUAUUGCUUUUAACAUGUCAUGGAUCAGUGGUUUAAGGAGUGGCCUUAGGGUUUGAAUGGUGUGCAGAUUCUAAUUCUACUCAUAGCUCAGACUAAUUUUCUCAUUGAUACAUCAUGUUAGUGUGAUUUCUUUGUGCAUUGCAUUAAAACAGAACCUUAUUCUCAAAUGAGAAUUAUGAAAUUCGAAAACUGUUUGGGUGUCUCCUAGAAUUUCAUUUUAAAGCAAACCUAGGCUUAACACAUUUCAAUAAAACAAGCAAAACCAAUAAUUUGUUUAUAUUUUAAACCAUAUAUAGUUUGAUAUAAAGAUAUAACUUGAGAAUGAAAGAGCUCGAGUGCAUGGGGGAAUUGCGUAAAAUCCUGGUUUGUGUCUUAGAGAGGCUGCAGGGGUCCAAGUAAGGGCAGUAGAACUUCCGGUUGCAAUUCAUUUACCAUGUCGUAGCGCAGUCGAUUAAAGCAGCAUCUGGGAUGCUCUCGGGCGUAGGUUCGAACCCUCGUCACAGUCCUUGUGGAUUUGUUCAUUUGAUGCAUCACGCUAUUGUGAUUUCUGUGUGUAGUGAGAAUAUUCUCUAGGACAAUAGUUCACUUACCAAGUUACAAGUACACUAUUACUGGAACCGUAAUGUGGUUUCAGACCAACACAAAUAUCUAGAUAACUACCCAGGUGAGGAGAGUGGGUCUGGUGUCUGGCUGUAAUCACUGUACCCUGAGGCUGGGAUAAAUUGGCUGAUUGGGCGACUCUUUUUGAUGAGCGUCGGUCCCUCCGCCAUCUGGGGAGUGUCGUUACCUGUCAGGUGCACCUUUGUGUGUGUGUACUCACCUAGUUGUGUUUGUGGGGGUUGAGCGCUGCUCUUUCGGCCCGCCUCUCA